RNAcentral lists this signal recognition particle RNA (61 nucleotides) under Pseudoalteromonas sp. TMED43. Its description in RNAcentral is "partial signal recognition particle sRNA small type". It matches the Rfam family "Bacterial small signal recognition particle RNA", at positions 1 to 61 of the family's 97-position model. Rfam says of the family: The signal recognition particle (SRP) is a universally conserved ribonucleoprotein involved in the co-translational targeting of proteins to membranes. RNAcentral also lists the same sequence under 1 other name. The record is from RNAcentral. Lineage: Bacteria; Pseudomonadati; Pseudomonadota; Gammaproteobacteria; Alteromonadales; Pseudoalteromonadaceae.
UAUUGGUCCUCUCGCAACACUAGCAGGCGAACCUGGUCAGGCCCGGAAGGGAGCAGCCACA